ACUAGUAUUGAAGUCCACGGGGAUCAGGCUUUCCGAAAGGAGGGUGGGGGGAUGUUUGGUUCCCCCUGCUUGGGCAGACUGGAGAGCAUUGUGUAGCCACUUUUGUUGGCUACGUUAUGUUUGGCCUCUGCUGAUCGAGCUUGUCACCUGAAUUCUACUACCCUUGCUUUUGCGCACCCAUUGUUUCCUCGGUAGGCUUGCCUGCCAGUAGGACCAUUUAAAACCCUUUGUGAUUGCAAUCAGCGUCAGAAACAACGUAAUCGUUA
Molecule: unclassified non-coding RNA, 266 nt
Filed under: soil metagenome
Description: partial internal transcribed spacer 1
Source: RNAcentral